Molecule: non-coding RNA, 71 nt
Organism: Phrynosoma platyrhinos (Desert horned lizard)
Lineage: Eukaryota; Metazoa; Chordata; Lepidosauria; Squamata; Phrynosomatidae
Source: the annotation of a GenBank genome assembly
GCCAGUGUGGUUAAUGGUUUGAGCGUUGGACUAUGACUCUGGACACCAGGGUUCAAAUCUCUGCUCAGCCA